CACGAAGCAAGCAGGGCAGAGCCAGACACCAGAAGCUGACAGCUUUGGGGGAGUUGACAUCGUGACAUGCUGCACCCUCCAUCUUGCUUCUCACUCAGCAGGCGUUCUGCUGGCCUAAACAAGAAGAACAGAGGAAGAGGCUUUGCUGGGGAGCAGGAAGAGGAGAGAGGAAGACAAUGUUGAUUCCGUCCAGACCUGAAACAGCUCCUUCUGCAACUGCAGAGUCCGUGGCUCACACUGACGCCUCCCAUCCCCCUGUGCUGUACUUUAUUUCAUGGUUAACAUGCUGGGGUUUACCUGAUACAGUCCAUACAGUCUGUUGUUUCAAACAUCAAGAUAAUGAAAAAUACGACUCAUUUGGCUGCACAGUUUGCUGGACAAGAGCACAGAUUUGAGAAAAUCUUUCAACUAAACCUUGAGCUUGUAUCACUGCACGUCAUCAUUUUUUAGCCAGUGUUUUGGGCAGUAUUCUAUUGCUGUGAAAGGACACCAUGACUGUGGUAACUCUUGUAAAGGAACAUGUGGAAGGAGCAUGGUGGCACACAGGGAGAUGUUCAUGGUAUGGAAGAAGAAGAUAAGAGUUCUACGCCAGAUGCACAGGCAACAGAAAGAGCGAAGCCCAUCUCCAGUGACACACUUUCUCCAACAAGGCCACACCUCUUAAUCCUGUAGGCAAAACGUUUUUCUAUCUUCUGUGUAAAGAUGAACUAGUAAUACAAAUUACCUCCAAUAAUUUAUAACAACUAUUAAACCAAGGUAUAAAUUCUCCUGUUCAUAGAAAUAAAUGUCUUAGUGUCAGAUUAAAGGUAAUGUAUGAGUCUGU
RNAcentral lists this long non-coding RNA (823 nucleotides) under Rattus norvegicus (Norway rat). RNAcentral describes it as "long non-coding RNA NONRATT012435". The record is from RNAcentral. Lineage: Eukaryota; Metazoa; Chordata; Mammalia; Rodentia; Muridae.